This is a long non-coding RNA of Taeniopygia guttata (zebra finch), 2326 nucleotides long. The record is from Ensembl. NCBI's taxonomy places the organism in Eukaryota, Metazoa, Chordata, Aves, Passeriformes, Estrildidae.
CCUGGUUCUGAACCGUACACAUCUCCUGCUUAAUUGUCCUCCUGUACCUCAAAUCUGCCUCUCCCACCGGCAGCACAAUCAGCUUCCACACCAGCAUGAAUCAGCUUUUCCACUGCGAAAGCAACAGCCUGCCAUAAAGUGUUUAAAUAGCCCACAAAAUCUUCCUUGAGCUGCCCGGUGGGAGUAGAGCUGCCCAUGCACACACACACACACACAGAGAUCUCUCCUCCACCUGCAUGUAUGAAAGGCUCACCUCCGUGUUUCAGAGAUUUCAUCACUUUUCUGUUAAUUGCAAUAUAAAACUUUACAUUUGAUAUGAAUAAAGACCAGAUAACCUGGCACUUUGGAUGAAUCCCCUUCGUCAUCACUGCUCCCUUCUUGGUUUUGGUUACCAGCUGGUGUGCAUCUGCAAAAUGGUCAUUCUGUCUCCCUUCCCUCCCAGAUAAUCCAUGAGUUUUCACAGUUUUAUUUAAAGCACUUUGUUCUGUUCUGUUUGUUUGUUUGCUUUAAGAGAAGCAAUGUUUUACUUUAACUGCUACUCUGAAGGCUACUUUGAGAGGCCUGACUCUCCAGUUUAAACAAAUAAUAUGUAAAUUCUAUGUUUCAUAUUUUUCAUUUUCACUAUUCUCACAAUUUACUGCUUCUUCAGCCUCCUUCAAUAAACUAGAAAACAAGCUGCUCUUUCUCUCUUAAAAGCAGAAACUACAACUAUAAGGUCUUCUUUGCUGUAAGAUGAUUUUUUGUAUCACCAAAUCUUUUGACCAACUACAACAGUUUCUAAACAAGAUCAGUACUGGUAUUUCUUACAAGCACAAUAGGAAUUUAGUUUUAAUUUACAACUCUUGGAGAUACUUCUUUUGUCAUGUAAGCUUUUAGACCUCAGAUAUAAACAUGUGUUCACUUGAAAAAAAGAUUUCUUUAUAACUUUUGUCAAUAUUCUGCUGAUUGCUAGUUCAGUACCAGAUGUGCUAUGCUUAAUGGUGCAUAUACAAGAAGCAUUCCCUAAUCCCUAAAUGAACUUCUUAUCUCUAAAUAUAUACAGGAUAAGCUAUCUAAACUCAAUUUAGCAACUAUGCUAUUAAAUCUACCAGAACCAAAGAGUGAAAGAAUAUUGUCAAUGCCAAGUGCCUGUUAGCAAAAAACAAAAAAAUCCUCCUGAAACAAAACAUGGCUAACCAUAGAUCAAAAUCAAUCAGACAUAGAUUAAUUUCUCCUAUCAGGGCAUCUUGAACCCCCACAUCUUCAUUUCAGAAGUGCAUACACCCAGUUUCAAAUGCCUCUCAUUUUAUUACCACCACACUCUGUCAGUCACAAUUUGCUGCACAGAAAUGAGUUGUCAUUAGAUCAGACUUUUAACUGUAUAUGAAUGCAGAUGGAUCCAUUAUGGGAUUUAGGAGGAGUGCACAAAAAAAAAAAAAAAGGUAUCAUCUCUUGGCUGGAUUGCUGCACCUGGAAGCAUCGCAGCACCAAUUCCCUUUGUGACCCUGGGACACAGGUUGAUACAGCACCUGGAUACCUUCACUGUUGAAACUACAGCAUUUUCACCUUCAUUCACAGCCAGACAGUCCAGCCUGGCCCAUCGAUUCCUCAGCAAUAACCCCUCCUGCCCCUGCACUGUGCAGAGGGGAAGGCAGGGGAUGCUGGGACAGAAGGGAAGAACGUCCCUUUAUGGUUCUGAUGUCCCUGACACCCCUAAUUUAAUGAUUCCUGACCCCAAAAAAACAAGAUACAUCUAUUUGAUUCCACACAAGGUUUCUUAGAAUACUUCACUAUCUCUGAAGGCAACAACAGCAAGAAAGUGCACAGGAAGAACGGACAAGUUACACUCAGGCCCACAAAAGAGAUGAUUCUGAUGUUUUCUGCCUAUUGGAUGUUACAUGCUGUGGUGGAUAACUCCAUGACAGUCCACACAGUUCUCUUCUACAUUCCCUGCACUACCUUAACCCCUCUUAUUUCUCCUUCCCUCAGCAUGAAGGGUGCCCAGUACCAGUUGUAUACGAGACCUUAAAAAUCCACUUUUUCAACCUUUGGGACUGAAAAGCAGCACAAGAACUUUAAGGUUUGCAGAGUUUGGUCUAAAGUACAACAAAAUGCUAAGCAAAAUGGUUGGCUGUCUUAGAAAAAGUUGCACCUGGAAGAACAGAUUCCCACGUCAGUACAAGAGGAGAGUUCUGGGUUGGAAUCAGAGAAAUGGAUGGAAAGUUGUCACAGAGGUGCACAUUAAAUAUGCAUUUAUGCAUUUUGUGGUAUGUGCCUAUGUUUUCCUCCAUUUUUGUUCAUGUUAUUGUCUUAUUACCUUGGAAGAAGUGUUACAAAAUCACUGCAU